AUGGUGCAGGAUUUUGGGAUGAGAAUCAGUAAAACAGAGGUGAAUUUGAAGAGGCUGCUUGCAGCUGCACCUCAGCAACAGAACCAGGCAAAACUUGUACAUUAUGUUGCUACUUUACGAGAACUGGUAGAACAACUAGCUGAAGAGAGAACUCCAGAAGGCUUACCCAGAGUUUCAAAGGCUGUUUUGAGUGACUAUUCAGAGAAGAUUGAAGCCAUUGCUUCCAAAUUAGCUGCUCCACCGCCUGAUAUUCAAACACCCGAAGAGCCCCUUGCAAGAAUUUCUGUCAAAGCAAACUCUUCUGAUACAGGAGGCAAUCAGAUUCCCCCUUCUCCAGGUUUGAGAAGGAGAUUUGUGUAAGUGAAUGUCUCUAAUACUGAAGAUGGAACUCGCGAGACUGCUGGUGUUGAUUCUUCAGGGCCUGUCAAACUGGAUGCUGCGGCCCAAGCACACAUUGAAAAGCAUAGAAAGCUUCAAGAGGAUUUGACAGACGAAAUGGUUGGAUUGGCUAGACAGCUCAAAGAGAGUAGUCUCAUGAUGAGUCACUCCUUGGAAAACACUGAAAAAAUACUUGAUUCUACAGAGAAGGCUGUUGAAAGUAGCUUGGCAAGCACUGGUCACGCCACUACACGGGCAGCAGGUAUAUACUCGAGGACGUCCAAGACUACUUGUUUCACAUGGCUUCUGAUGUUUGUCAUGACAUGUGUAUUUAUCAUGGUGGUUCUUUUAAUUCGCGUAACUUAAGGGUGUGUUGUGUUAGGAAGACUCAUCUUUCGUCCCAUAAUUUCUAUGUAUAUUUUGCAAUGUUCAACAGCGACAGUCUACAAAUUAUGAUAGAUAUAAUUUCUCAGAGCAUAGAAAUGUUGUUCGACGAUCACUGGAAAUGGACGGGAAUGGAUUUAAAUGUUAAUGAUACUGCGACGCUAGUUACCGAAACA
Pyrus x bretschneideri (Chinese white pear) is the source of this 938-nucleotide RNA transcript. RefSeq lists it as uncharacterized. The record is from RefSeq and is a predicted model, not a curated record. NCBI's taxonomy places the organism in Eukaryota, Viridiplantae, Streptophyta, Magnoliopsida, Rosales, Rosaceae. The transcript is spliced from 7 exons.